RNAcentral lists this ribosomal RNA (789 nucleotides) under uncultured archaeon. RNAcentral describes it as "bacterial SSU rRNA". It matches the Rfam family "Archaeal small subunit ribosomal RNA", at positions 85 to 879 of the family's 1478-position model. The record is from RNAcentral.
ACGGCUCAGUAACACGUGGACAAUCUAACCUAUGGAAGAGGAUAACCCCGGGAAACUGGGGAUAAUACUCUAUAGACUAUGGAAGCUGGAAUGCUCUGUAGUCGAAAGGUCCGCCGCCAUAGGAUGGGUCUGCGGCCGAUUAGGUUGUUGUUGGGGUAACGGCCCAACAAGCCUGUAAUCGGUACGGGUUGUGGGAGCAAGAGCCCGGAGAUGGAUUCUGAGACACGAAUCCAGGCCCUACGGGGCGCAGCAGGCGCGAAAACUUUGCAAUGCGGGAAACCGUGACAGGGGAACUCCGAGUGCCCGUAAAAUCGGGCUGUCCAUCGGUUUAAAUAACCGGUGAAGAAAGGGCCGGGCAAGACCGGUGCCAGCCGCCGCGGUAAUACCGGCGGCUCGAGUGGUGGCCACUAUUACUGGGCUUAAAGCGUUCGUAGCUGGUUUGUUAAGUCCCUGGGGAAAUCUUCCGGCUUAACCGGAAGGCGUCUCAGGGAUACUGGCAGACUAGGGACCGGGAGAGGUGAGAGGUACUCCAGGGGUAGGAGUGAAAUCCUGUAAUCCUUGGGGGACCACCUGUGGCGAAGGCGCCUCACCAGAACGGCUCCGACAGUGAGGGACGAAAGCUGGGGGAGCAAACCGGAUUAGAUACCCGGGUAGUCCCAGCUGUAAACGAUGCGCGUUAGGUGUAUCAGUGACCACGAGUCACUGAGGUGCCGAAGAGAAAUCGUGAAACGUACCGCCUGGGAAGUACGGUCGCAAGGCUGAAACUUAAAGGAAUUGGCGGGGGAGCAC